AGGGCUAUAGCUCAGCGGUGGAGCGCCUCGUUUAAUGAUCGAGAGUGUCUAUGGUUCGAAUCCGUAUAGUCCUA
RNAcentral lists this transfer RNA (74 nucleotides) under Cyrtomium falcatum. RNAcentral describes it as "tRNA-Val". It matches the Rfam family "tRNA". Rfam says of the family: Transfer RNA (tRNA) molecules are approximately 80 nucleotides in length. Their secondary structure includes four short double-helical elements and three loops (D, anti-codon, and T loops). The record is from RNAcentral. Lineage: Eukaryota; Viridiplantae; Streptophyta; Polypodiopsida; Polypodiales; Dryopteridaceae. RNAcentral also lists the same sequence under 3 other names.